This 268-nucleotide long non-coding RNA is filed under the name Mus pahari (shrew mouse). RNAcentral describes it as "sRNA (MGP_PahariEiJ_G0008243.1)". It matches the Rfam family "WT1 antisense RNA conserved region 8". The record is from RNAcentral. Lineage: Eukaryota; Metazoa; Chordata; Mammalia; Rodentia; Muridae.
ACAGAGACAGAGACUAUAACCUUCUCACCUUAGAAAAGUCUUCCAAAGUAUUGGUGUUUUUAUGUUUUUAACCUAGAAAUGAUAAUAUCCUUUAUAGGCAGGGCUUCAUCUCAUCUCCCCCUCACUCCUGGCUACACUCCGCGUCACUUUUCUGUCAACACUGGAAUUAAUUAAAUAUGAAUGAAUUAUUCCUCAGAAAACUAGCUAAAUCUAAAUAUCACGUUGUGAUUUCCCCUUUGAUAAGUAGUGUAACUGCAGAACUAUAUAU